UAUAUAUCUGUGUGGUCCUUAACUAUAUGUCUGAUGCCAUAUAAUCAUAAAUAAAGUGUGUUGAGUGCGUUGUGAAAUAAACCAUUUCCUUCCUUCCUUUAUAAAAAUAAUGGUGAUUAUAUACUCAUCAUGUGUUCAGUCAAAAUAUAUAUUUAUAGGUCAUGGUACAGCGUGUAUUUGUGUUAUAACUAACUUUUUACUGAAAAACCUUGUAUAUAACAAUUCAGUUGCCCGAGGGGCGGGAUGUAGCCCAGUGGUAAAGCACUCGCUCGAUGCACGGUUGGUCUGGGAUCGAUAUCCGUCUGUGGGCCCAUUGGGCUAUAUCUUGUUCCAUCUAAUGCACCACUAGUGCAAAGGCAGUGGUAUGUAAUACCCUGUCUGUGAUAUGGUGUGUGUGUAUAUAUAUAUAUAUAUAUAUAUAUAUAUAUAUAUAAAAAACAGUGGCGGAUCCAGAGGGUGAACCACAUAUCAUUGUAUAGACAUUGAAAAGAGAUGGGACAGUGUUAGUGAAUUUGAAUGAACCACAUACAAUGGUACAAAAGCUGGUAGCGCAUUAUUUCUGGGAAUGUGCCCCCCCCCCCCUACAAUUUUUUUAUUUAUUAUUAUUUAUUAUUAUUAUUAGUAUUUAUUAUUAUUAUUUAAUAGAUGGUGCACUUCUAUAUUAAGAGUGUGCACCUCCAUCACAUUUGGAUCUGCACCCGAUGUUUAAUGCCUUGAAUGCAGUUAGCAAUAAAUAAAUAUACAUGUGUAUAUAUAUAUAUAUAUAUAUAUAUAUAUUGUGAUGUUAGUCACUUUUUAAAAUUAUUAACCUAUUUACAGUGUUUUAGCCACAUUUUUUUUUUUUCAUUUAUAUUUUUCAAGCAUGGCACACAGAAAGAAGCAAGUGAGAUUCACUGAAAAAAAAGUGACCUAUAAUUACUUAAAGAAGUUGUGGCACAAAAUCUGUUCCAGGAUAAAACGAAAUGGAUAACAAUAGCUGCGCAUGUGUCCAUUGAAGAAUUUGGCAUUGAUCUGAGGAAGGCAAGAGAGAGGACAGAUCUCCAAAUAGAAAAAUUUACACAGCAGGAGAAUGUAUCCAAAAUAAGAUGAUGACAGUGACAGAGACGAUAACCCAUCAGAAAAGAGGAGGGAAUAUGGACAUAAUAAUAUAUCUUAAGGAAAAUAAUGGGAAAAUAUGGAACUGAAACAAGAGGAACUGGAGAUAAAAAAAAGAACAGUUAAAACUCAGUGAAGAGAAAUUUGAUUUUGAGAUGCAGGAACGUUGGCAAAAAUUAGAACUAGAGAAGCAGCAGUCGACACUGACGAUGGAACUCAUAAAGCAAUUGAACAAAUGACUGGAUAUUAUAAGACAUCUUAAUUACAAGACAAAUAAAGUUAUGCUUGCCA
This is a long non-coding RNA of Gigantopelta aegis, 1386 nucleotides long. RefSeq lists it as uncharacterized. The record is from RefSeq and is a predicted model, not a curated record. NCBI's taxonomy places the organism in Eukaryota, Metazoa, Mollusca, Gastropoda, Neomphalida, Peltospiridae. The transcript has 2 exons.